UUCUGAGCUCAGCCAGCAUCCAGAGAGAGAGUGAGAUACAGCCUCCUCUUCUUGAAGCACCCACUUCUAAACUCUGUGACAGUUUUCUUGGAACUCUGUUAUGUGGAUCUGGAGAUGACAAUGUCACAGCACUCCCCUCUAAGCCUAAAUUCCCCCACACCGAUGAACUAUUAGGAUCCAGUAUCUGCCGGAGGAGCCCCACCUUCUGCUACUAUUAUGUUCUUCAGAUGAGUAGAAGAGAGUGGGGAGGGAGAGAGCAGGAAGAAGAAAGGAAGAAUAAUGUCUUGAAAUUGGUAAAAGCGUUUUUGUUUGCACAUCCUGCAUUAUUAAUAUUUCUUGUUUAGCAUAAUUAGCUACCCUCUCAAGCUUACACACAACCUGCAGUGUUUAUGCCUUCCGAUGAUAGCUAAACCAUCAGCAAAGCAGUCCAGGUCCCUGAAGGCUGAAUGCAGGUGGUUCUGAAGGCUGCAGGAUGCAUUCAAAAAGCAGGAUACAUAAGCUUUAAUUGUUGCUAAAAAUACAUUCACUAGAAGAAUCGGACUCCUUCUAUCUGUCUGGAGUGGAUAAAAGCCAACUAUGGAUUCAGUAGUCUAAAGAAAGUCGCAGAAGAACAAAGAAAAGGUAGACAAAUGGGCCCAAAUGAACUUCAUUAAUGAGAAAAAAAGAUAACUAAUAUAAGACAAUACCACUUCUCUUUAUUCAAAUAAUUGGCAGUCAAUUUUACUUGGACAAUAACUAUGGCCUCAAAUGUGAUUUCAGGCUCAACAAAGCAGUGCAAUUUAAGGUCUAUCAUGCCUUGUUGUCAUGCUUCACGCAGCCUGGAAUAAGUAAUUCAAUACCCCUUACAGGAUCACCAGCUAUUAAAC
Molecule: long non-coding RNA, 866 nt
Filed under: Homo sapiens (human)
Lineage: Eukaryota; Metazoa; Chordata; Mammalia; Primates; Hominidae
Description: non-protein coding LINC01146:20
Source: RNAcentral